This 1970-nucleotide long non-coding RNA is filed under the name Volvox carteri. Its description in RNAcentral is "long non-coding RNA (VCAR_LNC001761)". The record is from RNAcentral. Lineage: Eukaryota; Viridiplantae; Chlorophyta; Chlorophyceae; Chlamydomonadales; Volvocaceae.
CUUACCCACCACCAGCGGAGCCGCCCUACACACCACCUUCUCAACCAUCUAACCCACCACCAUCAUACCCACCACCAGCGGAGCCGCCCUACACUCCACCUUCUCAACCAUCCUACCCACCACCAGCAUACCCAACACCAGCGGAGCCGCCCUACACACCACCUUCUCAACCAUCUAACCCACCACCAUCUUACCCACCGCCAGCGGAGCCGCCCUACCCACCACCUUCUCAAUAAUCUAUCGCAGCCGAUUAUCACCGACUCGCAAUAGCGUCACCACUAAUACCGCCUUACCCACAAAUACCAACAUCGACAUCACCACCACCGGCCACCCUACCACCACCUUCUCAACCAUCUAACCCACCACCAGCAUUACCAUCACCAGCGGUGCCGCCCUACACACCACCUUCUCAACCAUCUACCCACCACCAUCUUACCCACCACCAGCGGAGCCGCCCUACACACCACCUUCUCAACCAUCUAACCCACCACCAGCAUACCCACCACCAGCGGAGCCGCCCUACACACCACCUUCUCAACCAUCCUACCCACCACCAGCAUACCCACCACCAGCGGAGCCGCCCUACACACCACCUUCUCAACCAUCUAACCCACCACCAUCUUACCCACCGCCAGCGGAGCCGCCCUACCCACCACCUUCUCAACCAUCUAACCCACCACCAGCAUACCCACCACCAGCGGAGCCGCCCUACACACCACCUUCUCAACCAUCUAACCCACCACCAUCUUACCCACCACCAGCGGAGCCGCCCUACACACCACCUUCUCAACCAUCCUACCCACCACCAUCAUACCCACCACCAGCGGUGCCGCCCUACACACCACCUUCUCAACCAUCUAACCCACCACCAUCUUACCCACCGCCAGCGGUGCCGCCCUACCCACCACCUUCUCAACCAUCUAACCCACCACCAUCUUACCCACCGCCAGCGGAGCCGCCCUACACACCACCUUCUCAACCAUCUAACCCACCACCAUCUUACCCACCGCCAGCGGUGCCGCCCUACACACCACCUUCUCACCCAUCUAACCCACCACCAUCUUACCCACCGCCAGCGGUGCCGCCCUACACACCACCUUCUCACCCAUCUAACCCACCACCAUCGUACCCACCGCCAGCGGUGCCGCCCUACGCACCACCUUCUCAACCAUCUAACCCACCACCAUCUUACCCACCGCCAGCGGAGCCGCCCUACACACCACCUUCUCAACCAUCUAACCCACCACCAUCUUACCCACCGCCAGCGGUGCCGCCCUACACACCACCUUCUCAACCAUCUAACCCACCACCAUCUUACCCACCGCCAGCGGUGCCGCCCUACUCACCACCUUCUCAACCAUCUAACCCACCACCAUCUUACCCACCGCCAGCGGUGCCGCCCUACACACCACCUUCUCAACCAUCUAACCCACCACCAUCUUACCCACCGCCAGCGGUGCCGCCCUACACACCACCUUCUCAACCAUCUAACCCACCACCAUCUUACCCACCGCCAGCGGUGCCGCCCUACACACCACCUUCUCACCCAUCUAACCCACCACCAUCUUACCCACCGCCAGCGGUGCCGCCCUACGCACCACCUUCUCAACCAUCUAACCCACCACCAUCUUACCCACCGCCAGCGGAGCCGCCCUACACACCACCUUCUCAACCAUCUAACCCACCACCAUCUUACCCACCGCCAGCGGUCACGCCCUACACACCACCUUCUCAACCAUCUAAACCACCACCAUCUUACCCACCGCCAGCGGUGCCGCCCUACUCACCACCUUCUCAACCAUCUAAACCCACCACCAUCUUACCCACCGCCAGCGGUGCCGCCCUACACACCACCUUCCCAACCAUCUAACCCACCACCAUCUUACCCCCCGCCAGCGGUGCCGCCCUACACACCACCUUCUCAACCAUCUAACCCACCACCAUCUUACCCACCGCCAGCUGUGCCGUCC